This is a long non-coding RNA of Pan troglodytes (chimpanzee), 270 nucleotides long. RefSeq lists it as uncharacterized. The record is from RefSeq and is a predicted model, not a curated record. Lineage: Eukaryota; Metazoa; Chordata; Mammalia; Primates; Hominidae. The transcript has 3 exons.
GAGGACCGAGUAGUCCUGGGCCACCUCCCGCCUCUGCUGUCAGAAGCAGCAGCUGCCGCCGUGGAAUCCAAAAUUUCGGGAGCUGUGUCCCUUUCCUCAUGUAACACGAGUAGUCUUGGACGGCUGGAGUGCAGUGGCGUGAUCAUAGCUCACUGUCAACUUUGAACACUUGGGCUCAAGCUAUCCUCCCUCAGCCUCCCAAGGUGGGAGGUACAGAUCUGGGCAUAGGAACCAAUCAGAAACAAUCGCUUCAGCAAUCAAGACCAUUGU